UACGGAGGGUGCAAGCGUUAUCCGGAUUUACUGGGUUUAAAGGGUGCGUAGGCGGGUCUGUAAGUCAGUGGUGAAAUCUCCGGGCUUAACCCGGAAAUUGCCAUUGAUACUAUAGGUCUUGAAUCAUCUGGAGGUAAGCGGAAUAUGUCAUGUAGCGGUGAAAUGCUUAGAUAUGACAUAGAACACCAAUUGCGAAGGCAGCUUACUACGGAUGCAUUGACACUGAGGCACGAAAGCGUGGGGAUCAAACAGG
RNAcentral lists this ribosomal RNA (253 nucleotides) under uncultured bacterium. Its description in RNAcentral is "partial 16S ribosomal RNA". It matches the Rfam family "Bacterial small subunit ribosomal RNA", at positions 524 to 776 of the family's 1533-position model. The record is from RNAcentral.